Salmo salar (Atlantic salmon) is the source of this 146-nucleotide non-coding RNA. Lineage: Eukaryota; Metazoa; Chordata; Actinopteri; Salmoniformes; Salmonidae. The record is from RefSeq and is a predicted model, not a curated record.
ACUGACUGACCGGAACUGGGACCAGGAGGAUGAUGGAGAGGAGGCAGGGAUGUUUUCCAUCGCUAGUGACGAUGUGAUGAAGAGCAGGCCCAUCAAGAAGGCCAAGCGUCGUGCUGCUGGUUCAGAGGGGCAGAGUGGAGGAGCGU